This is a long non-coding RNA of Fukomys damarensis (Damara mole-rat), 2598 nucleotides long. NCBI's taxonomy places the organism in Eukaryota, Metazoa, Chordata, Mammalia, Rodentia, Bathyergidae. The record is from Ensembl.
AUUGGGUUAUAUCAUAAUCAACAUUUAGUAAUUUAUUGAUAUGUGGUGGUUUAAUAAUACAACCUUCUGAUUUAACAGUAACAUUCAAAUUUUCAAACUAUUUUUUCUUGUUAAUAGCAACAUUUUAUUGAGUUGGAUGACAAUAGGCAACGAUUAUUGCAGAAGUGCAAGGAACUUAUGAAGAGAGCUAGGCAAGUAUGUAACCUGGGUGCACAGCAGACUGUUCCUCGAGAAUAUCAGACACAAGUACCCACCAUUCCAAAUGGACACAACUCCUCACCCCCCAUGGCUUUUCAAGAUCUUCCAAACACAUUGGAUGAAAUUGAUGCUUUGUUAACUGAAGAAAGAUCAAGAGCUUCCUGCUUCACAGGACUGAAUCCUACAGUGGUUCAGGAAUACACAAAAAGGGAAGAAGAAAUAGUGCAGUUAACUGAGGAACUAAAGGGAAAUAAAGUUGAACUAGACCAAUAUAGGGAAAAUAUUUCACAGGUAAAAGAACGAUGGCUAAAUCCCUUAAAAGAGCUAGUAGAAAAAAUUAAUGAAAAAUUCAGCAAUUUUUUUAGUUCCAUGCAAUGUGCUGGUGAAGUUGAUCUCCAUACAGAAAAUGAGGAAGACUAUGAUAAAUAUGGAAUUCGAAUUAGAGUCAAGUUUCGCAGUAGUACUCAGCUGCAUGAAUUGACUCCUCAUCAUCAGAGUGGAGGUGAAAGAAGUGUUUCCACCAUGCUAUACUUGAUGGCCCUUCAAGAGCUUAAUAGAUGUCCGUUUAGAGUAGUUGAUGAAAUUAAUCAGGGAAUGGACCCGAUCAAUGAACGGAGAGUAUUUGAAAUGGUUGUAAACACUGCCUGUAAAGAAAACACAUCCCAGUACUUCUUUAUUACACCAAAGCUCCUGCAAAAUCUCCCUUAUUCUGAAAAGAUGACAGUAUUGUUUAUCUACAAUGGCCCUCAUAUGCUGGAAUCAAACAGAUGGCAUUUAAAGGCUUUCCAAAGGCGCCGCCGCCGUAUUACAUUCACUCAGCCUUCUCAGUAAAUAGAAGAAACUAUUGGAGCUUGAAAGAAUUAAAUGAGAAAAUUAUUCAUUUACUGCUGAGUUAUGCUAAUUAACAGUUACCAACAAAUUAUUUUCUUUUAAAAAAUAAAUCUUGUAAAAAAUGGAUUACUCCAAGGACAUGUCUUUGAAUUGUGGAUUGGAUCUGUGCUGGUAAUGACAGAAUUAUAUUUUUGACUGCUGGGCUGCAUAAAUUGAGUUGCAUUCACUUUGUGUUUUGCAUGUUCUUAUAUAGCCGAUGACAUUUAUAUUCAUAUUAGGUAAAAAAUAAUGUUCUCUCCCUUAGACAUUUUUCUCUUUGAAAACAUAUUUUUCUUUAUAAAUAAAAAUUUUAAGGUCCUCUCUUAAACUAAGUCUAACGCAUGAAGUAUGAAAAUAUUUUAAAAAUAUUUUCACUAUGAUGAACAAAUCACAUGAAUUUGAAAAAAUUAGUAACAUUUUAGUAAAUGGAUAUUACCAAACAUUCCUGUUCUUAACUUUGUUUUCCAUUAUAACUAAUAUGUACUGUGGUGUAAUUUUUUGUCUAAAUUAGCUGGGCAUGGUGUCACAUACCUGUAAUCCCAUUACUUGAGAGUUUAAGGGAAGAGGAUUGACAUGAAUUUGAGGCCUGCCUGGGUUACAUAGUAAUUUAAGGCCAGCCUGAAUUAAAUGGCAAGACCCUAUCUAAAACAAUAAAUAAUUCAUAGCUGUCAUCAAUUUCUAUGAAAAUGAACUCCAGUGUGAAAAAGAAGCUUGAAGAUUAAUCAAUCAUAUUUUAAAUAAAAUGGUCAAUUACCUUUCAACUUAAUUUGCCAACAUUUCAUACCUUUUUUGUAAACAUAUUUCUGUGUUGCACAAAGUUAAUAUUAGGUUUUACCUUGACUUUUGAGCUGUGAAGAAUAAAUUAUGUAUCAUUUUAAUAUCUUAAGGAAUAAUAAGGGUAGCAUAUUAUAUAUAGUCUUGGCCACUUAAAAUUUCAUGUUUUUUGCAAAUGUUGAUUUUUAAUCAAAUUGUAAAAACAUCAAGUAAAAAGCCUAAUUUGAUGAAUAAGAUGAUCUUUAAAACUUUAAGGUGAUAAGUGUUUUUGGAGACUAAAUCUACUGACAUGUCUAAGGAGAGUCUGUUAAAAGGUUUUCUGUAUUCAAAGUAAGAAGAAAGAUUUCCUGCUGCUUUCUGAUUGUGUUUUGGAUAUAUGCCUAUUGUCUUUGCAAUAUGAACCUUUAGUAUGUGAAAAAUGUAAUUUCGUCCGGCUAUUGUGUAUGUAUAUGUGUAUAAUUGUUAACUGUGUUGGAAAUGUUACUUUGUUGUAAUAAAUACAUAUUUUCAUAUUCGUUUGGUCUAUGUCAUUUAAAAAGGAUAAUUUUUUGUACUUUGAACUGUAAGAGUCAUUUUGAUUUUCAGGUUUACUAAACAAAUUUUGUAAGUGCCCACCAUUUACAAAACAAGUUUUAGCUGUUCAGAAGUGUUCAGAAGGGUGAAAGUUUAGUUCCUUGUUUGCCUGCAAUGAAAUUAGUCUAAAGGAGCAGUAAACACAUGAAAAAAUGAAGCUACCAAAAGAAGCCAAUCUACAAG